This 388-nucleotide ribosomal RNA is filed under the name uncultured bacterium. RNAcentral describes it as "bacterial SSU rRNA". It matches the Rfam family "Bacterial small subunit ribosomal RNA", at positions 28 to 419 of the family's 1533-position model. The record is from RNAcentral.
GACGAACGCUGGCGGCGUGCUUAACACAUGCAAGUCGAGCGGUAAGGCCCUUUCGGGGGUACACGAGCGGCGAACGGGUGAGUAACACGUGGGUGACCUGCCCUCAGCUCUGGGAUAAGCCUGGGAAACCGGGUCUAAUACUGGAUAUGACUCCAUGACGCAUGUUGUGGGGUGGAAAGCCUUGUGCGGCUGAGGAUGGGCCCGCGGCCUAUCAGCUUGUUGGUGGGGUGAGGCCUACCAAGGCGACGACGGGUAGCCGGCCUGAGAGGGCGACCGGCCACACUGGGACUGAGACACGGCCCAGACUCCUACGGGAGGCAGCAGUGGGGAAUCUUGCGCAAUGGGCGAAAGCCUGACGCAGCGACGCGCGUGAGGGAUGACGGCCUGG